UGGCGAUGAUUAAACAUUUAUUCGCGCUUCUGAGAGUAAUCUAUGAAGCAGAAGAAUAAAUAAAUGGUUGAAUUUCUUAAUAUGAGCCA
Mangifera indica (mango) is the source of this 89-nucleotide small nucleolar RNA. NCBI's taxonomy places the organism in Eukaryota, Viridiplantae, Streptophyta, Magnoliopsida, Sapindales, Anacardiaceae. The record is from RefSeq and is a predicted model, not a curated record.